Molecule: ribosomal RNA, 373 nt
Filed under: uncultured Glomeromycotina
Lineage: Eukaryota; Fungi; Glomeromycota
Description: SSU rRNA
Rfam family: Eukaryotic small subunit ribosomal RNA
Source: RNAcentral
CUGACGAACCAUGAUGUCAUUUAUUUGGUGUUGCGGGGAAUCAGGACUGUUACUUUGAAAAAAUUAUAGUGUUUAAAGCAGGCUCACGCUUGAAUACAUUAGCUUAGGAAUAAUGAAAUACGACGUUUGAUUCUAUUUUGUUGGUUUCCAGGAUCCACCUAAUGAUUAAUAGGGAUAGUUGGGGGCAUUAUUAUUCCAUUGUCAGAGGUGAAAUUCUUGGAUUUAUUGUACACUAACUACUGCGAAAGCAUUUGCCAAGGAUGUUUUCUUUACUCAAGAACGAAAGUUAGGGGAUCGAACACGAUCACAUACCGUCAUUGUCUUAACCAUAAACUAUGCCGACUAGGGAUCGGAUGAUGUUAAUUUUUUAAUG